GGUUAAGCGACUAAGCGUACACGGUGGAUGCCCUGGCAGUCAGAGGCGAUGAAGGACGUGCUAAUCUGCGAUAAGCGCCGGUAAGGUGAUAUGAACCGUUAUAACCGGCGAUUUCCGAAUGGGGAAACCCAGUGUGACUCGUCACACUAUCAUUAACUGAAUCCAUAGGUUAAUGAGGCGAACCGGGGGAACUGAAACAUCUAAGUACCCCGAGGAAAAGAAAUCAACCGAGAUUCCCCCAGUAGCGGCGAGCGAACGGGGAGGAGCCCAGAGCCUGAAUCAGCAUGUGUGUUAGUGGAAGCGUCUGGAAAGGCGCGCGAUACAGGGUGACAGCCCCGUACACAAAAGCGCAUGUGCUGUGAGCUCGAUGAGUAGGGCGGGACACGUGGUAUCCUGUCUGAAUAUGGGGGGACCAUCCUCCAAGGCUAAAUACUCCUGACUGACCGAUAGUGAACCAGUACCGUGAGGGAAAGGCGAAAAGAACCCCGGCGAGGGGAGUGAAAAAGAACCUGAAACCGUGUACGUACAAGCAGUGGGAGCCCCACCACCAAAGCAUUCUCUGGUGUUGAAGGCCCUGCAAAGCAGCAUCGCGGUGGCGGAGCGUCGUU
RNAcentral lists this ribosomal RNA (608 nucleotides) under Salmonella enterica subsp. enterica serovar Kentucky. Its description in RNAcentral is "partial 23S ribosomal RNA". It matches the Rfam family "Bacterial large subunit ribosomal RNA", at positions 1 to 600 of the family's 2925-position model. The record is from RNAcentral. Lineage: Bacteria; Pseudomonadati; Pseudomonadota; Gammaproteobacteria; Enterobacterales; Enterobacteriaceae.